UUAAAUUACUUUUUGUAUGUUAAAUUCUCAGCUUUCCUUCUAAAACAGUGAAAAACAUAUCAGAAGUAUGGGUUUUCUUUUUCUUUUUUUCUCGCCUGUAAUCACGUUUUGCAGCAUUCGUUUAAGACCCGUACCCAUAGACAUGCGCAUGAGGGAGGCAGGGAAAAUAUUUGAUGUUAAAUACAAUGGAUUCUGCUCAAUGUGGGAACGUUGGAACCAGUUACAUCUGCCUGCAUUAAGCGGUU
This is a non-coding RNA of Cinara cedri, 245 nucleotides long. The record is from the annotation of a GenBank genome assembly. NCBI's taxonomy places the organism in Eukaryota, Metazoa, Arthropoda, Insecta, Hemiptera, Aphididae.